RNAcentral lists this ribosomal RNA (363 nucleotides) under Amietia angolensis (Angola river frog). RNAcentral describes it as "partial 12S ribosomal RNA". Lineage: Eukaryota; Metazoa; Chordata; Amphibia; Anura; Pyxicephalidae. The record is from RNAcentral.
CCCGUGAGAACGCCCUUUUACCUCAGUCAGACAAAGGAGCAGGCAUCAGGCACAGAAUUCUAGCCCAUAACGCCUAGUUAUACCACACCCUCAAGGGUACUCAGCAGUGACAAAUAUUAUACAUAAGCGUCAGCUUGAUUUAGUUAAAGAAAGUUAGAGCCGGCUAAUCUGGUGCCAGCCGCCGCGGCUACACCAGCAGGCUCAAGUUGAUAAACGCCGGCGUUAAGCGUGAUUAAAGAAAACCUAAAUUAGAGUUAAACAUGCAUUUAGUAGUGAUAAGCUUAUUACCUGGAAUAACAAAAACGAAAGUUACUCUAAUUCUGCUUGAAUACACGACAGCCAGGGUACAAACUGGGAUUAGAU